RNAcentral lists this ribosomal RNA (305 nucleotides) under uncultured bacterium. Its description in RNAcentral is "bacterial SSU rRNA". It matches the Rfam family "Bacterial small subunit ribosomal RNA", at positions 335 to 657 of the family's 1533-position model. The record is from RNAcentral.
GAUCCUACGGGAGGCAGCAGUGGGGAAUAUUGCACAAUGGGGGAAACCCUGAUGCAGCGACGCCGCGUGAAGGAUGAAGUAUUUCGGUAUGUAAACUUCUAUCAGCAGGGAAGAAAAUGACGGUACCUGACUAAGAAGCCCCGGCUAACUCCGUGCCAGCAGCCGCGGUAAUACGGAGGAUGCGAGCGUUAUCCGGAUUUACUGGGUGUAAAGGGUGCGUAGGUGGCAGGGCAAGUCAGAUGUGAAAGCCCGGGGCUCAACCCCGGUACUGCAUUUGAAACUGUCCAGCUGGAGUGCAGGAGAGG